AGGAGAUUCUGCACUCAGAGAUGG
RNAcentral lists this non-coding RNA (24 nucleotides) under Arabidopsis thaliana (thale cress). Lineage: Eukaryota; Viridiplantae; Streptophyta; Magnoliopsida; Brassicales; Brassicaceae. The record is from RNAcentral.